Molecule: ribosomal RNA, 465 nt
Filed under: Vreelandella stevensii
Lineage: Bacteria; Pseudomonadati; Pseudomonadota; Gammaproteobacteria; Oceanospirillales; Halomonadaceae
Description: partial 16S ribosomal RNA
Rfam family: Bacterial small subunit ribosomal RNA
Source: RNAcentral
CCUACGGGAGGCAGCAGUGGGGAAUAUUGGACAAUGGGGGGAACCCUGAUCCAGCCAUGCCGCGUGUGUGAAGAAGGCCCUCGGGUUGUAAAGCACUUUCAGUGAGGAAGAACGCCUGGUGGUUAAUACCCAUCAGGAAAGACAUCACUCACAGAAGAAGCACCGGCUAACUCCGUGCCAGCAGCCGCGGUAAUACGGAGGGUGCGAGCGUUAAUCGGAAUUACUGGGCGUAAAGCGCGCGUAGGUGGCUUGAUAAGCCGGUUGUGAAAGCCCCGGGCUCAACCUGGGAACGGCAUCCGGAACUGUCAAGCUAGAGUGCAAGAGAGGAAGGUAGAAUUCCCGGUGUAGCGGUGAAAUGCGUAGAGAUCGGGAGGAAUACCAGUGGCGAAGGCGGCCUUCUGGACUGACACUGACACUGAGGUGCGAAAGCGUGGGUAGCAAACAGGAUUAGAUACCCUAGUAGUC